RNAcentral lists this long non-coding RNA (7981 nucleotides) under Lactuca sativa (garden lettuce). RNAcentral's name for it is "long non-coding RNA (LSAT_LNC005395)". The record is from RNAcentral. Lineage: Eukaryota; Viridiplantae; Streptophyta; Magnoliopsida; Asterales; Asteraceae.
UACAACCAACUCAUAGUAACAACUCAUAUCUCUAGGUUUGAAGAAUAUAAGAUAUUAUCGUCUCAUGAUCACUCGUGAUAAAAUCCAUGAAGUGAUUCCAAUGAGCGCGGGUUGAAUCCAAUACUCAGAACUUAUGAGCACUCAUGAGUGUUGUAGCCCUUUGUCCAACACCUUAGACCUCUACAAGCCAACCCAUGACAGUCUUAAUUCAUAUCUACUUCCAACAUAUGACCGACUGUGGAUGGUUUGAAUAACUUAGUCAUUCCGGAAGAAUAACCUAGUUUAUUCUGGAAGUCAAAACAUGCAAAAUGAAACACAAGAAUAAUUGAAUCCAAUAUGGUCUCAGAACUUAUGAAUAUAAAUAAAACACCUUUUAUUUAUCACCAUAUGAUUACACAAUAUUCAUUGUAUACUCUUUCAGCUAUCAACUUUAUUCUUGAAUUUAAAACAAUAGUUGUCCCAUGCUCCAAGCAUGUACACUAUGUUUUCUAAACACUAGUCAUGCCAUACACCAAGUAUGCAUACUAUGUUUGUCUAUGAUCUUUACUUUGUGAAAUAGAUCAAUUGAACAUAACUCCAAUGAUCAUCUUCCACAGUCCCAAAUCCUUACUGCAAAUGCAAGAAUUCCAAAUUCAUGCCAUUUACUAAAAUCUGUUAGAUUCUAAACUUAUAUGCAUUGAUCCUCUUGUAAUGAUUAUGCACAAAGUCAGAAAGACUUGACAACAACCAUUACAGAGCAUUCCAAAGGAGAUCAACUCCUUGGAAACAUCCUUCUUGCAUUAAGUUUCCUAAUCUUACACAGAUUAAAUAAUUUCUAACUUUGAAACNAUAUUCCAUUUUGACUAUCACUUUCGAACAAGAGUUGCCUCUUUUCAGACUAUGUCAAUAUGGUCCUUCCAAAGUCAACACUAUACUUCCAACUGUCCUUGAGCAACCAAUCCUUGGUAAACCUUAGAUUGUCCUCAACAAUUGCUUAAUCAUUUUAGUCAUAUCCAAUUCUAGUACUUUUGCCUUCUUAAUGCCCCGGGCAUUUGGAAAAUUUUUAGAAAUGAUGAAUAUAGCACAUGUAAUCGAUCCUAUAUGCGAAUUAUAUGGGACACGAUUUAUGAUGACACACAUAUAGACUUAACCAGUCUUUUGCUAUAAUAUUUCCAUUUCUAUUUUCCAAGUUCUCAUAAUUCAGAUUAUGAAAAGGGAUGCCAUAAUCAUAAUCGAAUUUUAAAACGCAAAUAAUGAACCCAUAUAUAGAAUUUCCUUAUGUUGAGCCAUUCCAACAUGAAAUUCAUAUAUAUUCUAGACUAAAUACGAUUAAAACCUUAAUCUAAGCUUUUAGAUUUGAGAUGAAGUAUAAUUUCCUCUCCCUUAAUUAUAGCAAAACAACUUUUUCCCAAUUGAAACCUUUUGUUUUCUAUAAUUAACAUUGCUAACUUGCAAUACUUAUCAUAAUUAUCAUGCUCCCACUAACAUGAUGAUUAUUAUCAUAACACUUAUGCUCCAACUAGCUUUGACAUGUACUCAGAAAUCAGCUCGACUACUAGAAAUCAUAACUUUAUUGACUUUCUUACCAAAGUUCAGAUUUCUAAUACUAGAUUUCUUUGAAAACACUUUAUCAAUAUCAUAUACCUCUCUUAGAUAGCUCACAUGUGUGUCUAAGCAGUUUCGUAACUAUGAAAAGGGAUGUCGUAAUCAUAGUCUAAAUUAUUUAGACCUUUUGUCAUUUCUCAUAAGUUAAUGUUAGUGUGCCGGUUAACCACGCACGCUCCACUAAUGAAUUUGAGAAUUGCAAAUAUCACAAUUGAUGUCUACUUAAAAUCAACUUAGUGAAAAAGUUUCCUUACCAUCAUUUUCAUGAAUCAAAGAGAAACCUUAUGACACUUAGAUUUUAUGGUAUAUGUGUUCCUAUCCAUGUGAAUNGUAUAUGUGUCCUAUCCAUGUGAAUUUAUCAACACCAUAAUCACAAGACUAGGUUAGUGACAAAUCCUAACUCAUAUGGAUUGAAUUUGUGCAAUCUUAUCGUCUUGCCACCUGGCAGCUCAAGGGCCUGCCAUUGCUUCCAAGUAGCUAUCCAAACAAUUGAUAAUAGGUAGAACUCAAAUAUAUAGCCAACUUAACUGGAAUGGGCACAUAAAUGUCAACACGAUAGGUUAUAAACCUCAAGUCGUGUGCUACUGAAGAACUUCGGGUUUUAUUCUUGAUUAGUUCUUGAGACUUUCAAGAACUUUAAGACUCCCACUGUCCUAUUGACAUAUAAGACUUUCUUGUCAGAUAUUCAAGAGAUAGUGUGGAUUCUAAUCAAGACAAACACUUUACACAAUUGGCCUUAGUUGGUCUUUGUUUUAUCCAAAACAUCACAACAUACCAAUUUCAAAUGUACAAGAGUAGAAAACUUUUACUCUUACAUUUGACAAGUGUUUUAAACCUUCUUUAAGACAUGUCACUCAACAUACAGUCUUGGGGUAUGACUCUAAGACUUGUUUUGAAACGAAGUAUGACUCAUCAUCUUGAUUUGACCACUUCAACAAUUCAUAGCUCCUCUUUUAGCUAUCAGAAUGCACUUAGAGGAUGAAUAUUGAUAAGGUCUCAAAAUCAUUAAGAUGAUCUUAAAACAUGAUACUAAAGUAUUCUCCCAUCUUUUCAGAUUUGAGAAACUUUUAUCUUUCUGCCUAAGUUGAUUCUUCUUAUUCGCUCUGCCAUACAUUGGAACCUUUUCCAAUGUCUCAGAAUUACACUUAAGCUUGUAAGUAUAACCAUAUUUACUGAGCUUUAGUAAAUUAUGACGAAUAAUCUUAUCGAUCUUUUGUGGUGGACUUGACCAGUGCACAAGAAUGUGUACUCGAUCCCUUAGUCCUUCACUUGACUCACACAUCCAUGUGAACAAGUAAUUAGUCUUAAUUUUCCAAUACUUGAAAGUUCUCAUUCAUCAUGCUAUACAACUUGCAUGAUUCCAAGUUCCGGUCCAAUUGAAACUUGGGUGAUGAGAAUCUUUCCUUAUUUGGUAAAUUUAGACAUUACCACAAAUGAAAGAAUCAAUUUCAUAUUUCCACUCUUGCUAUUAAUGGAAUCAUAUAAGCAACAAUUUUUCCUCAAAUGCCAUUGUAAGGAUAUUUUAAAAUAAAUAAAAUCAAAAUUUUUCUUUUAUUUUAAAACUUUGCGGAAAAACUUAUCCUUACAAUCCAUAUGAAAACUUGUUGUUAUCUAUUCCUAAGCAAUAUCUCAUAACUCCUAAGAAGUAGCUCAAGAAUCCGAUCUUCAAACUAUGCGAUAGAAAUCCAUCUACGCGAUCAGAUUCAGCAUAUUCUUUCUUUAAGUUUCUUCACUUUUCUUUGAUUCUUAAAACAUCACCAUGUGACCCAGUCACAUCAUGUAUCAAGAAUCUCAGAAUAGAAACUUAACAGAGUUAGAUAGUGGACUUUACCUGAAGUAGAGUCAAACUUAUUGACUUUAACAUCCUUAGGUAAAUUUGGCAGCUUCGCAACCAAUGCCCCUUCCUUUGGCAAUAUAAACAUAUGGACCCUUUGAUAAUGGUACACGGGACUAUCACAGACUUAGCUUUUCUCUUUACCAUUUGGUCAACCGAGUUGACUAUGGCCGAUCCCUUUCCAUUGGGAAGAGAAUGCUUUACUGGAUAUCCAAUGUCAUCAUUGUCAAUGUCCAUAAAGUUUUAGGAAGUUGAUCUUAGCAAAUAGAUAAGAUCAUUAAGGGUCUUGUCAUAGUCUGUUUCAUAGGUGUCCCAAAGGAACUCACUAUGUGACUUAGAAAGUGAUUGAACCACCAACUUUCUCAAGACUUUGACACCCAACUCUCCCGGCUUGUCAAUAUGUGACUACAUCUCCAAGAUGUGAUCACACCUAGACCUUGCCUUGCCAAUAGGGCUUGAGUGACCUUAAACUUUUCAAGAACUUGUGGGUUAGGGAGAAUAAUUGGAGGAGGAGAAAGAAGUAUGAUAUCCAUGGGACAUCAUCUUCAUUAGGAAACCUUGUUUCAAGAGAUUUGGGAAGAUCAUAGGUGUCUAAACCAGACAUCUUUUGGGAGAUAUUCAAGAUAGUUGAUUUAAAGUCCUUAAUAUGACACCCAAUAUGAAAUAUUAAGGCUAGGACCCAACAAACUAUUUUAUAACUUAGAAGAGGUAUGCCGUAAUCCAAGCUAUAAAAUAUUUGAAGGUAGGUGAAUGACGAUUCACCAAUUUCCACCAAGAUAAACGAAAUGUAUUAUUAGGUUUUAAUUGGUUUUGAAACUCCUAGAUCUUUGAGAUUCAUUGAACUGUUCAAAGGCAUGUUUCAAUCUCGAGUGUGCCCUUCAGGUUUUGUGACUGGGAUGCCGAGGAUCACAAAACAAGGUGUGAAGUAACCAUGCAAAUCACUUGGUACCCUUAAUAAAUUACCCCUCAAUCGAUGUGCCGGUUAACCACACACGCUCCAUCGAUACUAUGAUAAAUAUUAAGUCACCCUUUACCUACCUUGUUAAGUCCAAGUUAGUGUGCCGGUUAACCACACACGCUCCACUAACGACUUAGACAAAGUGUAAAGUGUAAUUUCAUGGAUUAGCACCUUAUUCACAUUUUUCCUAAGUAACUAAGAUUGGGUAUUAUUAAGAGUUUAGUUACUUAGUAUUAUCAUUAAUACUUUUAAUGAAGGGAGAAUUCUAGUCCUGUCAAACCCGUUCGGCUAACGACCCUCCACCAGUCAAGCAAGCGGUGGGUGAGAGUGGACACCCAUUAAGUUGCCAUUUUAUAGGCAACAACCUUAUACCCACCUUAUAGACCGGCUUCGUGAAUGAGGCGUACUAGCGGUAAGACUGACUUUACUCUUAUACAUAUAUAUAUUAUUAACUUAUAAUAUUAUAAAGUAUAAGGGUUGAAUUUUAACUUUUAAAAUUCUAAGGGCUAACUUGGAAUUAAAGUAUUCAUAAGUGAAAACUUUACAAAUUCCAAAACUUGAGGGCAAGUUUUGAAACUAUUCAAAACUAAUUAAUUCCAUAACUUAUGUGUUUAAAGUAGUUUUAAUCCAAAAACUCUUCAAGUUCCAUAACUUGAGGACAAGUUAUGGAAGACUUUAAACUAAUAAAAGAAUUAACUUUUCUUUAUUUUAUAACUUAUGGAAUUAAUUAAGGUUACACUUUUUUUUUUUUUAUUUUAUUUUAUUAAAUGAAGAGACUCUUGGUCCUCCAUAACUUGAGGACAAGUUAUGGAGUCAUAAAACCAUUUAAUUAGAACUAGACUCUUCAUUUUUGUAACCUUUGCCAAUUUUUAUGAGUUUUAUGAUUCUUAAAUGUGACUUUUCAUAUAACUUGAGGACAAGUUACAAAAACACAUUUUAGAAUCAAUUCUUAGAUUAAUUUGGAUUAAAACCAACUAUCACAUAAUUUUAUUCAUUAAUCUAAAUUCACUCAUAAAACAAGGUAACACAAAAAACUUUUGGUGAUCCAUAACUUAUUCUUAAGUUAUGGAAUCCUUUAAAACAUUAACACCAAAUUUUGUAACUCCAAAAAAACUUUGAAUCAAUUUUUUUUUUAAAACCUUUUCAUAUCCAUAACUUAUGGAGGUUUCAAAAAAUAAAACUCUUUAGAUCAAACUUUUAAAACUAAUAAAAUAAUCAUAUUAUUUUAUCUUUUAUUAAAUUUGACCUAAUUCAACUCAUAAAGCAAAUUAUUCAAAUUUUACAAAUAAUUAGUUUUUCACAAGAACAAGUAAUUAUCUUAAAAUUUGACAAACUUCAUGUUUUUUUUUUUUUUUUUUUUCAACUUUGAAAAUAAAAUAUUUGCAUCAAUAUAACAGAAAACAACCCGUGGCUCUGAUACCACUGUUGGGUUUUGAGCAUUCUAACACUUCCUAAGUGUACAUGCAACCCUAAAUACCUUGGAUCUAUGUUUUCUCUAUUAUACAUGCAAAUAAGAACUUCCAAGGUAUUAUCCUAAUCUAGCAUACAAAACAAUAAUGUAACAAGAUAGAAUACAUACCUCUUGAUGUAGAAAGUCUUCAUGAAGCUUGAGUGCUUAGUGCCCCAAGUGUGACACCUCAAAUGGAAUCACAAUCAUCAAAACACUUAGAAUGACUUGAGAGAAUUCUACACUCACCAAAAUCGGCUAGCCCUUUCUUGAAUACUACUAGUGGCCGAUUUUUCCUCAAUAAUAAGAUGCUUAUAUAGUUACACAAUUAGGGUAAACUCUUAAUUGUCAUGGCUUUCCAUUUCCUUGGAUCCAUGGGUACAAAUACACCAUGGAGCAUCCAUGGACCAUCCUAUGGGUUUUAGCCCAACUUGAUUAUCCAUGGAGCAUUAGCCCACUAUACAAGUAUGGAUGAUUUACACAAUCAACCCAUAUAUUUAAUUAGUCUUCUUUUGAUCACUUAAUUAAUCCUAGAUUAAUUCUUGAUCAAUACUAAUUAAAUAAUCUUAUUAUUCUUAUUAUUAAUAUACUAGAACUUAUAAUAUAUUAAUAACCAUAAGUGUCUUAUUUCUCUCAUUCAAGUGCAUGAUGGUAUGCAACCCAAAUGGACCAUGCCGGGUCGGGUCAAGUCUUACCAAAUAUAGUUAUGGACUUAGACAUUAAUCCAACAGUCUCCCACUUGGAUAAGUCUAAAACUAUUAUUGCGUAUGACUUCAGGAACCAACCGGCAAUCGUAGCUCUCAAAAGCUUCUGUCGAACUCUGACCUUGUAGAUGAACUCUGACCUUUGUCAGUGACUUGUCCAUUAGAUAAGGGAUCAUAUAUUCCUCCAUUCUAGAUAUCAUAUGGACUGAGACAUGGAUUAUAAUCAUUCUCUCUGUCCAUUUGUUGUUUCCCGAUUUCCGAUUUAUGACGACUGACUAAUUGAACAAAUCAAAUCAGUCCUGGCCCGGCCGAGCACUUCCAUUUGUCAUCAUCAAAUCAUCGAGGGGCCCACAGAUAUCGCUUUUAUCCCGAAGGUAAAAGGAACGGAUAAACUUCGACUCAUAUGGCUUGUUCUACUACUUGUUGAAUCAUACACAAAGGCACGUUUUAUAGCACCGAGUUACCAAAUGCGUUUUCGUGCUAUCAAUGUACUAUCAACUCAUAGUAACAACUCAUAUCUCUAGGUUUGAAGAAUAUAAGAUAUUAUCGUCUCAUGAUCACUCGUGAUAAAAUCCAUGAAGUGAUUCCAAUGAGCGCGGGUUGAAUCCAAUACUCAGAACUUAUGAGCACUCAUGAGUGUUGUAGCCCUUUGUCCAACAUCUUAGACCUCUACAAGCCAACCCAUGACAGUCUUAAUUCAUAUCUACUUCCAACAUAUGACCGACUGUGGAUGGUUUGAAUAACUUAGUCAUUCCGGAAGAAUAACCUAGUUUAUUCUGGAAGUCAAAACAUGUAAAAUGACACACAAGAAUAAUUGAACCCAACAUGGUCUCAGAACUUAUGAAUAUAAAUAAAACACCUUUUAUUUAUCACCAUAUGAUUACACAUUAUUCAUUGUAUACUGUUUCAGCUAUCAACUUUAUUCUUGAAUUUAAAACAAUAGUUGUCCCAUGCUCCAAGCAUGUACACUAUGUUUUCUAAACACUAGUCAUGCCACACACCAAGUAUGCAUACUAUGUUUGUCUAUGAUCUUUACUUUGUGAACUAGAUCAAUUGAACAUAACUUCAAUGAUUCUCUUUUCACACUCCCAAAUCCUUACUGCAAAUGCAAGAAUUCCAAAUUCAUGCCAUUUACUAAAAUAUGUUAGAUUCUAAACUUAUAUGCAUUGAUCCUCUUGUAAUGAUUAUGCACAAAGUCAGAAAGACUUGACAACAACCAUUACAGAGCAUUCCAAAGGAGAUCAACUCCUUGGAAACAUCCUUCUUGCAUUAAGUUUCCUAAUCUUACACAGAUUAAAUAAUUUCUAACUUUGAAACAUUUCCAUAUUCCAUUUUGACUAUCACUUCUGAACAAGAGUUGCCUCUUGUCAGACUAUGUCAAUAUGGUCCUUCCAAAGUCAACACUAUACUUCCAACUGUCCUUGAGCAACCAAUCCUUGGUAAACCUUAGAUUG